AUUGAACGCUGGCGGAAUGCUUUACACAUGCAAGUCGAACGGCAGCACGGACUUCGGUCUGGUGGCGAGUGGCGAACGGGUGAGUAAUGUAUCGGAACGCGCCCAGUCGUGGGGGAUAACGUAGUGAAAAUUACGCUAAUACCGCAUACGAUCUAUGGAUGAAAGCGGGGGAUCGCAAGACCUCGCGCGAUUGGAGCGGCCGAUAUCAGAUUAGGUAGUUGGUGGGGUAAAGGCCCACCAAGCCAACGAUCUGUAGCUGGUCUGAGAGGACGACCAGCCACACUGGAACUGAGAGCCGGUCCAGACUCCUACGGGAGGCAGCAGUGGGGAAUUUUGGACAAUGGGCGAAAGCCUGAUCCAGCCAGUCCGCGUGCAGGAUGAAGGCCCUCGGGUUGUAAACUGCUUUUGUACAGAACGAAAAGGUUUCUACUAAUACUAGGAGCUCAUGACGGUACUGUAAGAAUAAGCACCGGCUAACUACGUGCCAGCCGCCGCCGUAA
RNAcentral lists this ribosomal RNA (500 nucleotides) under uncultured bacterium. Its description in RNAcentral is "partial 16S ribosomal RNA". It matches the Rfam family "Bacterial small subunit ribosomal RNA", at positions 30 to 523 of the family's 1533-position model. The record is from RNAcentral.